Molecule: non-coding RNA, 224 nt
Organism: Brochothrix thermosphacta
Lineage: Bacteria; Bacillati; Bacillota; Bacilli; Caryophanales; Listeriaceae
Source: Rfam
AAAUAUCCGAUGAUUAAGAAAAGUAGAUAAGAAAGUUUAGUUUAAGAGAGUAAAACCCGUGGCUGUAAGGUUUUGCACUAAACACUUUUUGAAAGACACUUAGGAGGAUUUCGCUCGAACGGUAUCAAGUAGAGUGAAACGUGAUCAGGCGUUAACUGAGAGUGGAAAACCAUCGCUGGUUUUCAAUUAGGGUGGUACCACGGGUGAAAACGCUCGUCCCUUGU